Molecule: ribosomal RNA, 2858 nt
Filed under: Sciadococcus taiwanensis
Lineage: Eukaryota; Rhodophyta; Bangiophyceae; Cavernulicolales; Cavernulicolaceae
Description: 23S ribosomal RNA
Rfam family: Bacterial large subunit ribosomal RNA
Source: RNAcentral
UUACGGGGGAUACCUUGGCAUCUAGAAGCGAAGAAGGGCGUAGUUACCAACGAAAUGCUUCGGGAAGCUGGAUACAAGCUUUGAUCCGGAGGUGCCCGAAUGAGGAAACUCUUUAUACUAUUUACUGAAUUCAUAAGUAAAAAAGAGCAAACCUAGUAAACUGAAACAUCUUAGUAACUAGAGGAAAAAAAAGCAAAAGCGAUUCCCCUAGUAGCGGCGAGCGAAAAGGGAAUAGCCUAAACCAUUGAAAAUUUUUCAAUGGGGUAGUGGGACAGCGUUCAUUGUAAUUAGCAAAAGUUAGUUGAAAUAGCUGGAAUGCUAUGACAAGAUAAGGUAAUAGUCCUGUAAACGAAAACUUGAGCUAUUAUAGCUGGAUCCCGAGUAGCAUGGGACACGUGAAAUCCCGUGUGAAUCUGCGAGGACCACCUCGUAAGGCUAAAUAUUCCUAGAUGACCGAUAGCGAACCAGUACCGUGAGGGAAAGGUGAAAAGAACCCCGGAAGGGGAGUGAAAAAGAACGUGAAACCGUAAGCCUACAAGCAGUGGAAGAACGACUUAACGUUUAACCUCGUGCCUGUUGAAGAAUGAGCCGGCGACUUGUAAGUAGUGGCAGGUUAAGGCAGAGAAUGCUGAAGCCAUAGUGAAAGCGAGCUCGAAAAGAGCGAAGGUCACUAUUUACAGACCCGAACCCAGAUGAUCUAACCAUGACCAGGGUGAAGCUUAGGUAACACUAAGUGGAGGUCCGAACCGACUGAUGUUGAAAAAUCAGCGGAUGAGUUGUGGUUAGGGGUGAAAUACCAAUCGAAUUUGGAGCUAGCUGGUUCUCCCCGAAAUGUGUUGAGGCACAGCGGUUGAUGCUCAAGCUUAGGGGUAAAGCACUGUUUCGGUGCGGGCUGUGAAAACGGUACCAAAUCGAGGCAAACUCUAAAUACUAAGUGUGCAGUCAACCAGUCAGACAAUGAGGGAUAAGCUUCAUUGUCAAAAGGGAAACAGCCCAGACCACCAGUUAAGGCCCCAAAAUGAUUGCUAAGUGGUAAAGGAAGUGGGAACGCAUAGACAACCAGGAGGUUUGCCUAGAAGCAGCAAUCCUUUAAAGAGUGCGUAAUAGCUCACUGGUCAAGUGAUCCUGCGCCGAAAAUGAACGGGACUAAGUAAUCUGCCGAAACUGUGGGAUGUUUUUACAUCGGUAGGGGAGCGUUCCGCAUUAUAGACUGAAGCAUUAACGAAAGUGGAUGUGGACAAAGCGGAAGUGAGAAUGUCGGCUUGAGUAGCGAAAACAUUGGUGAGAAUCCAAUGCCCCGAAAACCCAAGGUUUCCUUCGGAAGGUUCGUCCGCGAAGGGUAAGUCAGGACCUAAGGCGAGGCUGAAAAGCGUAGUCGAUGGAUAACAGGCUAAUAUUCCUGUACCAUUUAUCGUUGACAAUGAGGGACGAAGAAGGCUAGACUAGCCAGAUUUUGGUUACUGGUUUAAAUUUUCGAGGCAAAGAUGAAUGGUGAAAACAUUCUGAGCUAAGAGAUGAAUACGUGGUGUUACGACACUAAAGUAGUUGAUGUCAGACUUCCAAGAAAAGCUCAUAAUGUCAUAAACGAUAAAUGCCUGUACCCUAAACCGACACAGGUGGGUAGGUAGAGUAUACCAAGGGGCGCGAGAUAACUCUCUCUAAGGAACUCGGCAAAAUAGCCCCGUAACUUCGGAAGAAGGGGUACCCUUUAAAGGGUUGCAAUAACUAGGCCCAAACGACUGUUUACCAAAAACACAGGUCUCCGCUAAAUCGCAAGAUGAUGUAUGGGGGCUGACGCCUGCCCAGUGCCGGAAGGUUAAAGAAACUGGUUAGUUGUAAGACAAAGCUAGUGACUGAAGCCCCGGUGAACGGCGGCCGUAACUAUAACGGUCCUAAGGUAGCGAAAUUCCUUGUCGGGUAAGUUCCGACCCGCACGAAAGGCGUAACGAUUUGGGCACUGUCUCGGAGAGAGACUCGGCGAAAUAGAAAUGUCUGUGAAGAUGCGGACUACCUGCACCUGGACAGAAAGACCCUAUGAAGCUUUACUGUAACUUGGAAUUGAGUUCGGGCUUUUCUUGCGCAGUAUAGGUGGGAGGCUAUGAAAAUACUCUUGUGGGAGUGUUAGAGCCUUCAGUGAGAUACCACUCUGGGAAAGCUAGAAUUCUAACUUUGAGCCGUUAACCGGCCGAAGGACAGUUUCUGGUGGGCAGUUUGACUGGGGCGGUCGCCUCCUAAAAAGUAACGGAGGCGCGCAAAGGUUCCCUCAGGCUGGUCGGAAAUCAGUCGUAGAGUGUAAAGGCAAAAGGGAGCUUAACUGCAAGACCAACAAGUCAAGCAGAGACGAAAGUCGGCCUUAGUGAUCCGGCGGUACCGUGUGGAAGGGCCGUCGCUCAACGGAUAAAAGUUACUCUAGGGAUAACAGGCUAAUCUCCCCCAAGAGUUCACAUCGACGGGGAGGUUUGGCACCUCGAUGUCGGCUCAUCGCAACCUGGGGCGGAAGUACGUCCCAAGGGUUGGGCUGUUCGCCCAUGAAAGCGGUACGUGAGCUGGGUUCAGAACGUCGUGAGACAGUUCGGUCCAUAUCCGGUGCAGGCGUUAGAGUAUUGAGAGGAGCUCUCCCUAGUACGAGAGGACCGGGAGAAACACACCGCUGGUGUACCAGUUAUCGUGCCAAUGGUAAACGCUGGGUAGCCAUGUGUGGAUGUGAUAACCGCUGAAAGCAUCUAAGUGGGAAGCCAACCUCAAGAUGAGUACUCUCCCUUUUAAGGUAAGGUCACGGCAAGACGAGCCGUUAUAUAGACGCUAAGUGUAAGUACAGUAAUGUAUUAAGCUGAGGCGUACUAACAGACCGAAAACUU